Molecule: ribosomal RNA, 497 nt
Filed under: uncultured bacterium
Lineage: Bacteria
Description: partial 16S ribosomal RNA
Rfam family: Bacterial small subunit ribosomal RNA
Source: RNAcentral
GACGAACGCUGGCGGCGUGCCUAAUACAUGCAAGUUGAGCGAUGAAGCUUGGUGCUUGCACCAAUUUGAAGAGCAGCGAACGGGUGAGUAACGCGUGGGGAAUCUGCCUUUGAGCGGGGGACAACAUUUGGAAACGAAUGCUAAUACCGCAUAACAACUUUAAACAUAAGUUUUAAGUUUGAAAGAUGCAAUUGCAUCACUCAAAGAUGAUCCCGCGUUGUAUUAGCUAGUUGGUGAGGUAAAGGCUCACCAAGGCGAUGAUACAUAGCCGACCUGAGAGGGUGAUCGGCCACAUUGGGACUGAGACACGGCCCAAACUCCUACGGGAGGCAGCAGUAGGGAAUCUUCGGCAAUGGACGAAAGUCUGGCCGAGCAACGCCGCGCGAGUGAAGAAGGUUUUCGGAUCGUAAAACUCUGUUGGUAGAGAAGAACGUUGGUGAGAGUGGAAAGCUCAUCAAGUGACGGUAACUACCCAGAAAGGGACGGCUAACUACGUG